Populus euphratica (Euphrates poplar) is the source of this 851-nucleotide long non-coding RNA. RefSeq lists it as uncharacterized. The record is from RefSeq and is a predicted model, not a curated record. NCBI's taxonomy places the organism in Eukaryota, Viridiplantae, Streptophyta, Magnoliopsida, Malpighiales, Salicaceae. The transcript has 3 exons.
AAUGCAUCGCCUUUCUUCCUUUUCAAUGAGAACAAAUCCCUAAUCUCCUUCUCUAUUAACUAACCGGCAACCACAAAAGCGGCGACGAUCAGUCCAGUCUUCACUCCAGUCAUCAGUGCUCACGACCGAGUAUUUAAUCAGUUCAUUUGUCGGUGAGAAGACGUCUCCUAUAGGUUAUCUCCAUGAAGCCGGCAAGCUCUUCGCACAAAAUAAUUGUUAUACUAGGCAUCUGGCGAAGAUUUUGAUUCACUUAUCAUGGUGUUUGCAAAGGUGUUUUUCGAAUUCUGCUGCACCUUUGGAGGUUUAUGCGAAGGCUGUUAAUGCGGUUUACAUUUCAUCUGUUUUUUUGAAGUAUUUAAUUGAAAAUGCUCAAAGCAAUAAUAGCAUUGAGGAGUUGUAUUUGUCAUUGAAUGUAAGCGAACCAUCAUCUAAUGAUUUCAACACAGGAAAAAAAUCUAAUGGCGAAAUGGGUGCCAAUAAGCUACAGUUUUACUCUAUAAUUGGAAACUAGAUCUGCAUUAAGGUUAUGCAAAGAAAUGCAAUUGUCAUAGAAGUUUCUGAAAGUUUAAACAAGUCCAAAUAUUUAGGUGAAGAACUGCUGAACUCCUGCCUUUGUGGUUGGCUAUACAUCCUCAAACAGCAGAUUAAUUAUGGAAAGGAGGUCAAAAGAAAGUUAGAUUUGAACUUUUGGACUUUCAACGAAUAAUUUCAGGACAGAUCUUGGUGUUUACUGAUAGAAUAUAUUUAUUCAAGCCCUAAGAAUGCCAAUUGUGUACUAUAAACUCUCUGCUUUCAGUUCCAUUGAAGUUUUUGUUUGACAGCUAUGCUUUCCAGUACAUGUAAAUCAUUGU